AUUUGGGAAUCGGAACUGUGCAAAUGGUGCAGAAAGGAGGAGGAGGCAGCGUUGGGCUGAACCCGGAGGAGGUGAUGGUAGAGGAGGGUGGGGAGGGGGAGGAGCCAAUGGUGUUUGAGUCGGUGCCACUGGUCCAAGGGAAGGCCGCAGCAAAGCGGCUGCGGCUGUUUGGAGUUAAACAUGGAUUGCCCCAUCUCGGAGUCGUCGUCGGAGGAUCAGGAGGAUGAUAAUUGUGACAUACUUGUAUUACCUUCCACUGCAGUCGCUCAUCCUACAAUGCCAUCACAAUUUCCCCACUUGUGUUCAUCUCCACCUCCACCUCCGCCUGCUUCUUCUUCUUCUCUUCUUCUUCUUCUUCUUCUUCAACUGUCCUCUGCAGUUGAGGCCAUACAAUUAUGCCAGCCGUCCACCGCUCCACACAAUGCCCUCCAACAACAAAAGCAGUAGCAGCGACAGCAAGGGCAAGGCAUCUAUGUCCUUGGAUUUGGAUAUAUACUUAGAUGGAGUGGCACCGGGGACUCGGGAGUGACUAAAAAUCUUCUAAGCUGGACAUAUACGACUUGCGUGAAUGCGGCCUUGCGUCCAAAGCCACAAAUGCUAGUGCUAUAUAUGAUCAAGAAAGGAGGGAAGGAAGGAUGAGCUCUUUCAUUUGCUCCAAAUUCAUGCUGGCUGUGCGGAGACGUCCUCAAAGAAGAAAAGAAAAAGGAAUUAUGGCUGAUGUGAUCAUCAUGAGAAGCCCUCUGAAAGGGCUUUGAUUGCCCAACGUGUAUCGUCGCUAUAUAUAGGCUUUUUUCCCGUGGAGUACUGCUUCCAGAAAAUCUUUCAUGUCACUUCUUCA
Molecule: non-coding RNA, 838 nt
Organism: Coffea arabica (coffee)
Lineage: Eukaryota; Viridiplantae; Streptophyta; Magnoliopsida; Gentianales; Rubiaceae
Source: RefSeq, a predicted model, not a curated record